This 770-nucleotide small RNA is filed under the name Arabidopsis thaliana (thale cress). Its description in RNAcentral is "ATSL172340". The record is from RNAcentral. Lineage: Eukaryota; Viridiplantae; Streptophyta; Magnoliopsida; Brassicales; Brassicaceae.
AAAACUUCUAGUUCUUUCAAAACUUCUAAUUUACUUUUCAUUGCUUAUCAGUUACUCCCUUAAUUAGAUCUUAUAAUCAAAAUUACUUCCAUGUAUUUUAAUAAUCAAUCAUAUGUUAAUAAAACAAUAACGAGAUAAUAAUUAAAAUUUUAGAUUCUAAUAUAAACGAUACUAAAUUUAAUUUGACUAGCUAUGUAAGAUCUUAUAUUCACUUCAGAAUAUGAGUAUUACUUAUCAUCAAUAACUCAUAUAAAUUUCUUUCAAAUAUUGUGUCUACAGGACAACGAUACUUGCGUAAAAGUUUAAUCGUCUGUUUUACCAUCUCCGCAUCAGAGAUAUUCUCUUAACAAUGUGAGUUAUAUUCAAAAAGAGACUUCAAGUCUUGAAGUUUUAGUAAUAACUAAUUAUAAUUUAUUUUAUCUAAUAACACAUUCAUAUAAGAAUUGCUUCAUACAACUUUUAGAUCUUUAGUAGUCAAAGAUUGAACAUAAUCUUCUGGAUAUGUCACUUAUUAUCCAUUCAUUACUUCUCCUUCUCGAGAUGAUGAAACUUCAAGUUCAUCCAUCUCGUAUUGAAUUCCACUCUAGAAUCAUAAUGUAUUUAUAUCUCAUCAUAUUAACUUUGAGAUUUGGAGAACUAUACCGCAUCGAUAAUUUUAAUUUUGUAUUCCCAUAGAAAACAAUGUAUAUGCUCUUCUAGAGUCUUUUAAUAAGAUUUUAUACUACUUGAUAUACUAGAUUAUUUCAUCGUUAGAAUUUUUUUUUUUUUUU